UGCUUCUCUUGAGAGCGGCGGACGGGUGAGUAAUGCCUAGGAAUCUGCCUGGUAGUGGGGGAUAACGUUCGGAAACGGACGCUAAUACCGCAUACGUCCUACGGGAGAAAGCAGGGGACCUUCGGGCCUUGCGCUAUCAGAUGAGCCUAGGUCGGAUUAGCUAGUUGGUGGGGUAAUGGCUCACCAAGGCUACGAUCCGUAACUGGUCUGAGAGGAUGAUCAGUCACACUGGAACUGAGACACGGUCCAGACUCCUACGGGAGGCAGCAGUGGGGAAUAUUGGACAAUGGGCGAAAGCCUGAUCCAGCCAUGCCGCGUGUGUGAAGAAGGUCUUCGGAUUGUAAAGCACUUUAAGUUGGGAGGAAGGGUUGUAGAUUAAUACUCUGCAAUUUUGACGUUACCGACAGAAUAAGCACCGGCUAACUCUGUGCCAGCAGCCGCGGUAAUACAGAGGGUGCAAGCGUUAAUCGGAAUUACUGGGCGUAAAGCGCGCGUAGGUGGUUUGUUAAGUUGGAUGUGAAAUCCCCGGGCUCAACCUGGGAACUGCAUUCAAAACUGACUGACUAGAGUAUGGUAGA
RNAcentral lists this ribosomal RNA (578 nucleotides) under uncultured bacterium. Its description in RNAcentral is "bacterial SSU rRNA". It matches the Rfam family "Bacterial small subunit ribosomal RNA", at positions 81 to 655 of the family's 1533-position model. The record is from RNAcentral.